ACUCCCCCAGAGUGCCCACCCAGAAUUCUGUCUGCAGACGCUCUUGUCCUUGCUCUCACUGCCCUGAUAAUGCGAGUGAUGAUUUCCUGAAACACUAUCUUCUGCUGAGAAGGAAUUCCAGGAACACUUUUGCUUUGAUCCUGAUACUGCAAAAAUGAUCUUCAGAACUGGGAAUUUAAUCAUUAUGAGUAGUUCCAGAUUUGUAGCACUGGAAAAGGAAGACUUCAGCUUUCUGGAAGGUCUUCUGACAUCACCAGCUAG
This 261-nucleotide long non-coding RNA is filed under the name Cyanistes caeruleus (blue tit). RNAcentral's name for it is "lncRNA (ENSCCEG00000010041.1)". Lineage: Eukaryota; Metazoa; Chordata; Aves; Passeriformes; Paridae. The record is from RNAcentral.